This 74-nucleotide transfer RNA is filed under the name Flavobacteriales bacterium. RNAcentral's name for it is "tRNA-Met". It matches the Rfam family "tRNA". Rfam says of the family: Transfer RNA (tRNA) molecules are approximately 80 nucleotides in length. Their secondary structure includes four short double-helical elements and three loops (D, anti-codon, and T loops). Lineage: Bacteria; Pseudomonadati; Bacteroidota; Flavobacteriia; Flavobacteriales. The record is from RNAcentral.
GAUUCUGUAGCUCAGCUGGUUAGAGUUGGAAAUUCAUACUUUCUAGGUCGUAAGUUCAAAUCUUAUCAGAAUCA